RNAcentral lists this ribosomal RNA (497 nucleotides) under uncultured bacterium. Its description in RNAcentral is "partial 16S ribosomal RNA". It matches the Rfam family "Bacterial small subunit ribosomal RNA", at positions 28 to 507 of the family's 1533-position model. The record is from RNAcentral.
GAUGAACGCUGGCGGCGUGCCUAAUACAUGCAAGUCGAGCGAACAGACGAGGAGCUUGCUCCUCUGACGUUAGCGGCGGACGGGUGAGUAACACGUGGAUAACCUACCUAUAAGACUGGGAUAACUUCGGGAAACCGGAGCUAAUACCGGAUAAUAUAUUGAACCGCAUGGUUCAAUAGUGAAGGACGGUUUUGCUGUCACUUAUAGAUGGAUCCGCGCCGCAUUAGCUAGUUGGUAAGGUAACGGCUUACCAAGGCGACGAUGCGUAGCCGACCUGAGAGGGUGGUCGGCCACACUGGAACUGAGACACGGUCCAGACUCCUACGGGAGGCAGCAGUAGGGAAUCUUCCGCAAUGGGCGAAAGCCUGACGGAGCAGCGCCGCGUGAGUGAUGAAGGUCUUCGGAUCGUAAAACUCUGUUAUUAGGGAAGAACAAAUGUGUAAGUAACUAUGCACGUCUUGACGGUACCUAAUCAGAAAGCCACGGCUAACUACGUG